UGCUUGAGCCAGGGAGGGCAAGGCUGC
RNAcentral lists this non-coding RNA (27 nucleotides) under Homo sapiens (human). The record is from RNAcentral. Lineage: Eukaryota; Metazoa; Chordata; Mammalia; Primates; Hominidae.